GACGAACGCUGGCGGCGUGCUUAACACAUGCAAGUCGAACGGAAAGGCCCUGCUUUUGUGGGGUGCUCGAGUGGCGAACGGGUGAGUAACACGUGAGUAACCUGCCCUUGACUUUGGAUAACUUCAGGAAACUGGGGCUAAUACCGGAUAGGAGCUCCUGCUGCAUGGUGGGGGUUGGAAAGUUUCGGCGGUUGGGGAUGGACUCGCGGCUUAUCAGCUUGUUGGUGGGGUAGUGGCUUACCAAGGCUUUGACGGGUAGCCGGCCUGAGAGGGUGACCGGCCACAUUGGGACUGAGAUACGGCCCAGACUCCUACGGGAGGCAGCAGUGGGGAAUAUUGCACAAUGGGCGGAAGCCUGAUGCAGAAACGCCGCGUGCGGGAUGACGGCCUUCGGGUUGUAAACCGCUUUAGCCUGUGACGAAGCGUGAGUGACGGUAAUGGGUAAAGAAGCACCGGCUAACUACGUG
RNAcentral lists this ribosomal RNA (467 nucleotides) under uncultured bacterium. RNAcentral describes it as "partial 16S ribosomal RNA". It matches the Rfam family "Bacterial small subunit ribosomal RNA", at positions 28 to 507 of the family's 1533-position model. The record is from RNAcentral.